Molecule: ribosomal RNA, 759 nt
Filed under: Microbacterium sp.
Lineage: Bacteria; Bacillati; Actinomycetota; Actinomycetes; Micrococcales; Microbacteriaceae
Description: bacterial SSU rRNA
Rfam family: Bacterial small subunit ribosomal RNA
Source: RNAcentral
CAUGCAAGUCGAACGGUGAAGCCCCGCUUGCGGGGUGGAUCAGUGGCGAACGGGUGAGUAACACGUGAGCAAUCUGCCUCUGACUCUGGGAUAAGCGCUGGAAACGGCGUCUAAUACUGGAUACGAACCGUGGCCGCAUGGUCAAUGGUUGGAAAGAUUUUUUGGUCAGGGAUGAGCUCGCGGCCUAUCAGCUUGUUGGUGAGGUAAUGGCUCACCAAGGCGUCGACGGGUAGCCGGCCUGAGAGGGUGACCGGCCACACUGGGACUGAGACACGGCCCAGACUCCUACGGGAGGCAGCAGUGGGGAAUAUUGCACAAUGGGCGAAAGCCUGAUGCAGCAACGCCGCGUGAGGGAUGACGGCCUUCGGGUUGUAAACCUCUUUUAGCAGGGAAGAAGCGAAAGUGACGGUACCUGCAGAAAAAGCGCCGGCUAACUACGUGCCAGCAGCCGCGGUAAUACGUAGGGCGCAAGCGUUAUCCGGAAUUAUUGGGCGUAAAGAGCUCGUAGGCGGUUUGUCGCGUCUGCUGUGAAAUCCCGAGGCUCAACUUCGGGUCUGCAGUGGGUACGGGCAGACUAGAGUGCGGUAGGGGAGAUUGGAAUUCCUGGUGUAGCGGUGGAAUGCGCAGAUAUCAGGAGGAACACCGAUGGCGAAGGCAGAUCUCUGGGCCGUAACUGACGCUGAGGAGCGAAAGGGUGGGGAGCAAACAGGCUUAGAUACCCUGGUAGUCCACCCCGUAAACGUUGGGAACUAGUUGUGG